This 484-nucleotide ribosomal RNA is filed under the name uncultured bacterium. RNAcentral's name for it is "bacterial SSU rRNA". It matches the Rfam family "Bacterial small subunit ribosomal RNA", at positions 26 to 521 of the family's 1533-position model. The record is from RNAcentral.
AGGACGAACGCUGGCGGCGUGCCUAACACAUGCAAGUCGAGCGGAGAGUAUUUGGCAGUUUACUGUCGGAUAUAUCUUAGCGGCGCACGGGUGAGUAACACGUGGGUGAUCUGCCUGAGAGACCGGGAUAACAGUUCGAAAGGGCUGCUAAUACCGGAUGACACCUGGUAUGUAAGUAUCGGGUCAAAGAUUUUAUCGCUUUCAGAUGAGCCCGCGUCCCAUUAGUUAGUUGGUGGGGUAAAGGCCUACCAAGGCAACGAUGGGUAGCCGGUCUGAGAGGAUGGUCGGCCACACUGGAACUGAGACACGGUCCAGACUCCUACGGGAGGCAGCAGUGGGGAAUUUUGCGCAAUGGGGGCAACCCUGACGCAGCGACGCCGCGUGAGUGAAGAAGGCCUUCGGGUUGUAAAGCUCUGUCUGGGGGGAAGAUAGUGACGGUACCCCUGAAGGAAGCCCCGGCUAACUACGUGCCAGCAGCCGCGGU